CUUGGAUCCACUUUGUUAAUUUUGUUACUUCUUCCACUGAGUCUGCAUCUACCCUCAUUGCAAAUAGUCUAAAGCCACACCAUGUCCAUGUGUUCCUCAAGGCCAAGGGAGUAAUUAUAAACCAUUUGUGUCCCAUUCUUGGAAAGUCUUGGACCAGAGAUUACUAGGUCCCACCUUCAUAAACUUCUCAUUGUGUUUACAUAUAUAUCACCCUCCAAUCUCCAUCUCUAAACCAUUCAAGAUUAGCCAAAUCCCUAGUUCCAUAGACCGACCUUUUGUUUUCUUUAUCCUUUUUUUCCAGGAAAAUAGAAUUAUAUCAAAAUGAAAGGGUAUUCCAAGAUCAAAAUCUUUACUCGCUCUGCCAGAUCAAGAUCCAUGGACCUCUCAGAUCCUUUAACUUCUCUUGAACCCAAAAAUGCCAAUUCUCACUCAGACACAGACAUAAAGCCCCAAGAAAAAAUAACCAGCCAGCUGCAGAGCUUCAAGAACCUCAAGAACAACAACACUAGUACCAAAACCACCGCCGCCGCCACCACCACCACCGACAACAGCAACAACAUCAAGGGCCUGCAGGAUUCAGUUUCAUGGCUACAAGAUGAAGAUGAUUAUAAAGAAAACAGUAAUGCAGAGAUCAUGUUUACUACUUGUAAGCUGAAGAGGAACUCCUCAGUUUCUUCAGCUUCUGCACUUCAUUCUGCUGUUAAGAAUGCUUUCUCUAUGAGAAGAUCCUCCUCUGUUUCUGAGAGGUAUUGUAGGAUCCAUGACCAA
RNAcentral lists this unclassified non-coding RNA (768 nucleotides) under Hevea brasiliensis (rubber tree). The record is from RNAcentral. Lineage: Eukaryota; Viridiplantae; Streptophyta; Magnoliopsida; Malpighiales; Euphorbiaceae.